GCGGCAUUGAUGUAACAGCAAGCAUGCCUGUCUUCCAAACAGGGCGAGUCGGGGCAGCACCGACAUGCCGCACCA
RNAcentral lists this transfer RNA (75 nucleotides) under Verrucomicrobiota bacterium. RNAcentral describes it as "Verrucomicrobia bacterium (activated sludge metagenome) tRNA-Gly". The record is from RNAcentral. Lineage: Bacteria; Pseudomonadati; Verrucomicrobiota.